Molecule: ribosomal RNA, 255 nt
Filed under: Enterococcus faecium
Lineage: Bacteria; Bacillati; Bacillota; Bacilli; Lactobacillales; Enterococcaceae
Description: partial 23S ribosomal RNA
Rfam family: Bacterial large subunit ribosomal RNA
Source: RNAcentral
CCAGGGUUAGUCGGGACCUAAGCCGAGGCCGACAGGCGUAGGCGAUGGAUAACAGGUUGAUAUUCCUGUACCCGUUGUUUUUGUUUGAGCAAUGGAGGGACGCAGGAGGCUAAGGAAUGCAGACGAUCGGAAAUGUCUGUCCAAGCAGUAAGUCUGAAGAGGAGUCAAAUGCUUCUUUUCUUAAGGACAAGCUGUGAUGGGGAGGGAAAUAAUAGUACCGAAGUUCCUGAUGUCACACUGCCGAGAAAAGCUUCU